UCUUCAACCGUCACAAAGCCCUUUUUCUCCUUAUCUAGAUAUUUGGCGAACAACUUUACCGGGUCACGCUUCAACUUUCUCUCGUCAUCUUCCUCAAGCUCGAAUGUUUCAUCGAUGAAACGUUGAAAAAGAUCAGCGGUCUCGUUCUCACACCCGUCAGCCUCGAAGGUGUUGUCAACGGAAGCCGUGAAGAGCAUGGUUGCGGAGAUGCUGCGCCCGUACGAGCGAACCUGAUGGAUGUAGCCUGGACAAAAAAGGGGAGAAGAAAUUAGCAGGCAUCGACCAGAUAGAGAUGAACAGGCGUGUCCCCUGGUGGGAGGGGGUGAGCAGUCAUAGGUAUCAUAUGAAAAAAGCAUAGUAUUUAACGAUGUUUUAAAGAAUGUCCAUCACCCACUCCUUUGUUUAUCAUUGAAAAAACGGAUUUAUUCGCAAGGAAACUUCAAAAUAACAGUUUAAUAAUGAAGUCUAAUAUGUUAUUAUUAAGUAUAUUUGAAUGAAAAUAUCUUGGUUACUUUCUUGAAUUAGCCGAUGGAAAUGGAUGCUUUGUGUGACUCGCCAAUGAGCAGGAGCAUAAAAUGUUGGCAUAGUUGCCCUCUUUGAAUAAUUAAUGACCCACUUUUUGGCUGCCAAGUGGGCCUGUUUAUGUGUCUGAUAAGUGGACGAGUCAUACAGACAGUGGGUGAUAUAGGAAGUUGUGGUAAGGCAAUAAAUUAGAGUGCUUUCUAUUAGCAUACCUGAUGGUAGAAAGAUGCAAUCGCCAUCAUUGAUAGUAGCAUAUGUCCAUUCCACAUCACUUAUGUUUGGGUACAAAUCCAGGUUGAUUUCAUCAGGGUUCACCAUAGAGAAACCAGAUCCAAAUUGUGGAAACUGAAAAAAGCCCUUGGUUACCAAAUUAUAAAACAUUGGUGUUGGAGAUCUCUGCAGUGAGAGUGGGAAAUCAUCCCCAAUGCCUUAAUAUCUUGUCUCACACUACCUCUAGGCAUUAAGCAGUAUGUAUUUGGUACAGUAGCUUACCCAAUCAGAAAGAACAUAUUUUACAAAGGACUGGCAUCCAACAGGCCAAUUUUACAUACAUUCCACAUAGCUACCAACCUUUGUCAAGGUUGACACUUGCUUGUUUAUUCUCCCAAAAAUGCAAACAUUUGAUAAACUAGUCAUAUUUGUAUUUUGAGGGCGGCGAAGUGGUCCCAAAAGUGGGGGAAGGGGGGAGUGCUAAGUUGAAUUUUAUUCUGGUUAAAAAAUUUCAACCUUCCCCCCAAUCUAAACCACAAAAAUGGUGACCCUCCCCCAAAAAGGCCACCAAAUAAUAUGGCCCUCCACCAAAACAAACAAAAAAUAAAAAAAGGGUACUGGUUUCUUUAUUGAAAUUAUACUCUUGUUUUGAGAUGCCCUGUGUACAGCACGUUCUUACAGGAGCACCAGGCAUAGCAAAUUCAAUACAAUAGGAGUGUAGAAUGUAGAGUGUAGAGUUUCGAAAAUUUUGAAAUUCCACACUCUUAGGAUGCUUGGAAAUUGAUCAGAAUACCUGUUAAAAAAAAAAAAGGCCCUCCCCUAAACCCUGUAUCAAAAUUUGAGGCCCUCCCCUAAAUCAACGCUCAAAAAAUAGCAGCCGUCCCCGCCAUUGAAUAAUCACCCUUCCAUUGAAAUUCUCACCUUCCCAAGUUUUAGCUGCUGCUUGAACUUCUGAUGAAUCAUGAUGAAGUCUUUUCUCCCUGCCAUCAUGCAGUGGAUGUUGUGAUCAGCAUCGUAGUGAAUAACAGAGCGUGUCCCCCCAGAACCAAUCCACAGAUUAGUCUCGUGUAGGAAUUUAGCAAACGUGCCACACAUGAUAGCAGGGGGGACCUGAAAUAUUUUACAAAAGUCAGUUUUACCAGUAAAGUGUCAUUAAAACUCAAAGUAGUGUAUAAUGCAACCCAUUGAUUUGCUCCCUUAUUAGUAUAACUUAUAAGUAUUUAACAAAAUUUUCUUUUCCUUGCUAUUUCAAAGGAAAAAUGAACACACCAUGGCUAAUUACAUAUCUUGUACAAAUAAUGAGGUUCAGCAUAAAACCCUGUGUUUUUUACCAAAAGGCACAUGCAUUCUUAUAAACAGCAUUCCAAAUAAAAGAUGAUGCAACAGAUUUUUUUACACUCUGACUGAGGAUCAAGGUAUUUUAAUUGGCUUGAUAAUAAUUGAUAAACUCAACAGUCUUGGUAUAAAAGGCAUACUGAUAA
Long non-coding RNA from Nematostella vectensis (starlet sea anemone), 2213 nucleotides. RefSeq lists it as uncharacterized. The transcript has 2 exons. The record is from RefSeq and is a predicted model, not a curated record. Lineage: Eukaryota; Metazoa; Cnidaria; Anthozoa; Actiniaria; Edwardsiidae.